Molecule: transfer RNA, 85 nt
Filed under: Mesorhizobium sp.
Lineage: Bacteria; Pseudomonadati; Pseudomonadota; Alphaproteobacteria; Hyphomicrobiales; Phyllobacteriaceae
Description: tRNA-Leu
Rfam family: tRNA
About the family: Transfer RNA (tRNA) molecules are approximately 80 nucleotides in length. Their secondary structure includes four short double-helical elements and three loops (D, anti-codon, and T loops).
Source: RNAcentral
GCGGGUGUGGUGGAACUGGCAGACACACUUGGUUUAGGUCCAAGCGCCGAGAGGCUUGGGGGUUCAAAUCCCUCCACCCGCACCA